Molecule: ribosomal RNA, 224 nt
Filed under: uncultured bacterium
Lineage: Bacteria
Description: partial 16S ribosomal RNA
Rfam family: Bacterial small subunit ribosomal RNA
Source: RNAcentral
GCGAAUCCCAAACCACGUCUCAGUUCGGAUCGGAGUCUGCAACCCGACUCCGUGAAGCUGGAUUCGCUAGUAAUCGCGCAUCAGCCAUGGCGCGGUGAAUACGUUCCCGGGCCUUGUACACACCGCCCGUCAAGCCAUGGGAGCCGGGGGUACCUGAAGUCCGUAACCGGGAGGAUCGGCCUAGGGUAAAACUGGUGACUGGGGCUAAGUCGUAACAAGGUAGC